RNAcentral lists this ribosomal RNA (507 nucleotides) under uncultured Geobacter sp. RNAcentral describes it as "bacterial SSU rRNA". It matches the Rfam family "Bacterial small subunit ribosomal RNA", at positions 8 to 492 of the family's 1533-position model. The record is from RNAcentral. Lineage: Bacteria; Pseudomonadati; Thermodesulfobacteriota; Desulfuromonadia; Geobacterales; Geobacteraceae.
AGAGUUUGAUCCUGGCUCAGAACGAACGCUGGCGGCGUGCCUAACACAUGCAAGUCGAACGGAUUUGAGGGGCUUGCUCCUCAAGUUAGUGGCGCACGGGUGAGUAACGCGUAGAUAAUCUGCCUGAUGAUCCGGGAUAACACUUCGAAAGGGGUGCUAAUACCGGAUAAGCCCACGGGGUCUUUGGAUUCUGCGGGAAAAGGGGGGGACCUUCGGGCCUUCUGUCAUCAGAUGAGUCUGCGUACCAUUAGCUAGUUGGUAGGGUAAUGGCCUACCAAGGCUACGAUGGUUAGCUGGUUUGAGAGAAUGAUCAGCCACACUGGAACUGAGACACGGUCCAGACUCCUACGGGAGGCAGCAGUGGGGAAUUUUGCGCAAUGGGCGAAAGCCUGACGCAGCAACGCCGCGUGAGUGAUGAAGGCUUUCGGGUCGUAAAGCUCUGUCGAGGGGAAAGAAGUGUAUUGUGGCUAAUAUCCGCGAUACUUGACGGUACCCCUAAAGGAAGCA